RNAcentral lists this ribosomal RNA (418 nucleotides) under uncultured bacterium. Its description in RNAcentral is "bacterial SSU rRNA". It matches the Rfam family "Bacterial small subunit ribosomal RNA", at positions 355 to 787 of the family's 1533-position model. The record is from RNAcentral.
UGGGGAAUAUUGGGCAAUGGGCGCAAGCCUGACCCAGCAACGCCGCGUGAAGGAAGAAGGCUUUCGGGUUGUAAACUUCUUUUAUGAGGGGCGAAGGAAGUGACGGUACCUCAUGAAUAAGCCACGGCUAACUACGUGCCAGCAGCCGCGGUAAUACGUAGGUGGCAAGCGUUAUCCGGAUUUACUGGGUGUAAAGGGCGUGUAGGCGGGCUUGCAAGUCAGAUGUGAAAACUAUGGGCUCAACCCAUAGCCUGCAUUUGAAACUGUAGGUCUUGAGUGAUGGAGAGGCAGGCGGAAUUCCGUGUGUAGCGGUGAAAUGCGUAGAUAUACGGAGGAACACCAGUGGCGAAGGCGGCCUGCUGGACAUUAACUGACGCUGAGGCGCGAAAGCGUGGGGAGCAAACAGGAUUAGAUACCC